This 309-nucleotide ribosomal RNA is filed under the name Triticum aestivum (bread wheat). Its description in RNAcentral is "partial small subunit ribosomal RNA". The record is from RNAcentral. Lineage: Eukaryota; Viridiplantae; Streptophyta; Magnoliopsida; Poales; Poaceae.
AUGCAACAUGUGGAAGACUCCUCACACCUGGGCUCCAGCGUUCUUCCAGAAGUGUUUUUCCCCUUUACAUGCACUACGGGGAGGUUAGAGGGACUAAACUCCUACUUCAAGGCAUUUGUUAAUCCUCAGGACUCGGUGUGGAGGUUUGUGCAGCAGUAUGAGGUGCUACAAGAGACUAUGCUGGACCGUGAGGACAAUCAAGCUUUCAUUAGCGCAACAGCCAUAGCCCCACUUUACUCACGGUAUAGAUUUGAGCGUCAGGCGGUUGGUUUCUACACCCGCAACGUGUUUGGCAAGUUUCAAGCAUAA